Lathyrus oleraceus (garden pea) is the source of this 354-nucleotide long non-coding RNA. RefSeq lists it as uncharacterized. The transcript has 3 exons. The record is from RefSeq and is a predicted model, not a curated record. Lineage: Eukaryota; Viridiplantae; Streptophyta; Magnoliopsida; Fabales; Fabaceae.
GCCGUAUAUAAAUCACUGCGCCACAAAAUUGCAUUUGACAUAUACAUUUUCUAUCUUCUCUGGAGCAAUGUACUCGCCUUGUGCCAACUUAAAGAUAAUCCUCUUCCUAUCAAUGAUUUUGAGACGACCGCCAGCUAUCCAUGUUCCAAUAUCUCCGGGGUUCGGCUGAUCAUCAGAUGUAUAGUUCACUUCCGGAACAUCUAUAAGUUUUAUCUCACAGCAUGGACUUGGGGAGCCAAACGAUUAUCCGCGGUUACGGGUCACAGUUGUGCUCGCUAUAAUGACAAUGCCGACAUUCACUUACGGUAAUUCAAGUGAUUCCAUUUGGCUUGCUGCUGUUAUGCUAACGUUUUU